GUGUUUGGGUAAUCGCUGCACUGUUUCAGUGUAGAGGAAAGUCCAUGCUCGCACAAUCUGAGAUGAUUGUAGUGUUCGUGCCUGACGAAGUCAUAAGUCAGGGUAGUCUGGUUGCAGGCUAACGGCAGGAGACUUACCUACGUUUAGUUUCUAAAUAUGGUAAGUGUGCCUUGAAAGUGCCACAGUGACGUAGUCUGUCUGGAAACGGACAGAGUGGAACGAGGUAAACCCCGCGAGCGAGAAACCCAAAAUUUGGUAGGGGCACCCCUGAAAAGGAAAUGAACGGAUCAGGGGACAGAGAUAAUUCUGUAGACAGAUGAUUACCACUUUUGUACGAGGGAUGACGCCCGUUUGAAGUACGAAGGAACAGAACAUGGCUUACUAAA
Molecule: RNase P RNA, 386 nt
Filed under: Salipaludibacillus aurantiacus
Lineage: Bacteria; Bacillati; Bacillota; Bacilli; Caryophanales; Bacillaceae
Description: Bacterial RNase P class B
Rfam family: Bacterial RNase P class B
About the family: Ribonuclease P (RNase P) is a ubiquitous endoribonuclease, found in archaea, bacteria and eukarya as well as chloroplasts and mitochondria. Its best characterised activity is the generation of mature 5'-ends of tRNAs by cleaving the 5'-leader elements of precursor-tRNAs. Cellular RNase Ps are ribonucleoproteins.
Source: RNAcentral